This 464-nucleotide ribosomal RNA is filed under the name uncultured Klebsiella sp. RNAcentral describes it as "bacterial SSU rRNA". It matches the Rfam family "Bacterial small subunit ribosomal RNA", at positions 339 to 795 of the family's 1533-position model. Lineage: Bacteria; Pseudomonadati; Pseudomonadota; Gammaproteobacteria; Enterobacterales; Enterobacteriaceae. The record is from RNAcentral.
CUACGGGUGGCUGCAGUGGGGAAUAUUGCACAAUGGGCGCAAGCCUGAUGCAGCCAUGCCGCGUGUGUGAAGAAGGCCUUCGGGUUGUAAAGCACUUUCAGCGGGGAGGAAGGCGUUAAGGUUAAUAACCUUGGCGAUUGACGUUACCCGCAGAAGAAGCACCGGCUAACUCCGUGCCAGCAGCCGCGGUAAUACGGAGGGUGCAAGCGUUAAUCGGAAUUACUGGGCGUAAAGCGCACGCAGGCGGUCUGUCAAGUCGGAUGUGAAAUCCCCGGGCUCAACCUGGGAACUGCAUUCGAAACUGGCAGGCUAGAGUCUUGUAGAGGGGGGUAGAAUUCCAGGUGUAGCGGUGAAAUGCGUAGAGAUCUGGAGGAAUACCGGUGGCGAAGGCGGCCCCCUGGACAAAGACUGACGCUCAGGUGCGAAAGCGUGGGGAGCAAAGAGGAUUAGAUACCCGGGUAGUC